Molecule: ribosomal RNA, 468 nt
Filed under: uncultured bacterium
Lineage: Bacteria
Description: partial 16S ribosomal RNA
Rfam family: Bacterial small subunit ribosomal RNA
Source: RNAcentral
GACGAACGCUGGCGGCGUGCUUAACACAUGCAAGUCGAACGGAAAGGCCCUGCUUUUGUGGGGUGCUCGAGUGGCGAACGGGUGAGUAACACGUGAGUAACCUGCCCUUUACUUUGGGAUAACUUCAGGAAACUGGGGCUAAUACCGGAUAGGAGCUCCUGCUGCAUGGUGGUGGUUGGAAUGUUUCGGCGGUUGGGGAUGGACUCGCGGCUUAUCAGCUUGUUGGUGGGGUAGUGGCUUACCAAGGCUUUGACGGGUAGCCGGCCUGAGAGGGUGACCGGAAACAUGGGGACUGAGAGACGGACAAGAAUCCAAAGGGAGGCAGCAGUGGGGAAUAUUGCAAAAUGGGAGGAAGCCAGAUGCAGAAACGCCGCGUGCGGGAUGACGGCCUUCGGGGUGUAAAACGCUGUAGCCUGUGACGAAGCGUGAGUGACGGUAAUGGGUAAAGAAGCACCGGCUAACUACGUG